This is a long non-coding RNA of Oryzias melastigma (Indian medaka), 918 nucleotides long. RefSeq lists it as uncharacterized. The record is from RefSeq and is a predicted model, not a curated record. The transcript is spliced from 3 exons. NCBI's taxonomy places the organism in Eukaryota, Metazoa, Chordata, Actinopteri, Beloniformes, Adrianichthyidae.
CAGGUGGAGCUCACGCUAUAGCAUUAAACUUUUCUAGAAGAAUAAGCAGAAAACUGUGUUUUAGACCACAAAUGAUUACUUUUGUUAGGUCCUGCUCUCCUGUGCUGCACCUUUUCAACAUGCUCCAUCAUUCUGCUCACCUGGCAGGUGAUGCAAAUGAUCCUAAUUACCACCUGGCAGGUACUUAGGAAAGAGGAGGCCUCGCCAGGAGCAGAGCAGAAGCAUUUGGGUUUUACUUUGAGUUUUGAAGACCCGAGCCCGGUUUACCUAUAGAGGAAGUAGAGGCGACUUUCCUGUUGAAGCCUCCUGAGGAGCAGAAAUAUUCAGAGAGAGAAAGAUGACUUUCAGAUCAAUUAAUAAAGAAGUGUGUAAAUAAAACAAAUAGUAGCGGUCAACAAAAAUAAACAGCCCAAGCUCUCCUCUCCUCCUCCUUCCAGAGAACAGGUGAGCUGAUGCUUAUUUCUCAGGUGUGACUAAUCAACAUAUCAAACAAGGUGACAGGGUGACAACUACAAACUUAGAGAUGUGGGAAGAAUCUUCAUUUUGGCUCCUAUAUCAACUUAAAACAUGUCCCUAAAAGAGUUUGAAAAUGCAUGCCUGUUAGACUAUGAAGCUGAUCAUUUAAUCAGCAUAGAAUGUUUACAUCGAAUUAGCAUUAGCAUUAGCCUUCCUGUGGGAAAAUCCAUUAAACGUUAACAUCAAGUCGGGGGACUUUUGCUUUAUGUGCUAGAUCGAUCUCUAUUUUAAUGAAUUAAUUAUUAAUCUAUUAAGCUUAAGUCCAUUUAAAUCAAUCAAUGUUAUCAACUCAGCCUUACUUAUCAUAUAUAUGGAUAUAGUUUACUUUGUAAGGCUUGAUAAUAGCAUGAUAUAGAGCCUUUAGCAUCGCGUUUUGAUUUUUUAAAUGUUUGUUUUCCAUAA